UGGAUAUUAAGUAAACUUGAUUCAGUUUUGUCAAUUGAUAUUAGUUUAGUCUGCUCACCGUAUGUUUGUGAAUUGUUCUAACAGAAAGAAUACGCGUAUCUUUCUGUAUAAUCUUGGUACAUGGAAUUUUAUUCUAUAUCAUAAUAGAUUUAGGUUUGACAUGGUUAAGCCUUUUGGCUGUUGUACUGAUUUUAAUGCCUUCUUAGCCAUCAGUUGAGAGCUAGCAAAGAGUCGUAUGGUCUGUUGUUUUAACAGAAAAAAAUGAGCAUGUUUUGAUUUUAGGAGAAAACAUUGUUCUGUUCAAAGGUUUUGUUUUAAGUGAGAAAAGCUCACCCCUGAUUUGGUUUUGUAAUUAGUAAUUAUAUAUGUGCUUUUUGCAACUUAAGUUCUAUUGUUAGUUGGUGUUUUCUGGU
RNAcentral lists this long non-coding RNA (413 nucleotides) under Panax ginseng (ginseng). RNAcentral's name for it is "long non-coding RNA (PGIN_LNC015947)". The record is from RNAcentral. Lineage: Eukaryota; Viridiplantae; Streptophyta; Magnoliopsida; Apiales; Araliaceae.